Aricia agestis (brown argus) is the source of this 1272-nucleotide long non-coding RNA. RefSeq lists it as uncharacterized. NCBI's taxonomy places the organism in Eukaryota, Metazoa, Arthropoda, Insecta, Lepidoptera, Lycaenidae. The record is from RefSeq and is a predicted model, not a curated record. The transcript has 2 exons.
CACUACGAUGUUGCCACUCUUUAAUUUCUUCACUUUCUUGGUAGACUAUACAGUCACGCAUUCUGUCCAAAAACUAGUGAGUACGGGGCCUUACUUGUUGUAGUUCCUUUCCUAAAGCAAAGUCACAUUCCUUCAUUGCAUUGCGUUGCUUAGCGAGAUAUUUGAAACAUCUUCUUCUUCAUCAAUUAAUUAAUGAAGUUUCUGCAUUAAUUAGUUGAUGAAGAAGAAAUUUUUUUGACAGACUAUACAGUACAAUACAGUAAGUACAUGUCAAGUAAAUAAUUUAGCACACAUUUCGGAUUUGUGACUAUGGAGUUUUGUGACGCCACUUUCUCUCAGCAAUUUUUUUCUGAAGGAACUAUCGGCAGCACAUGACAAGUAAAAUAAUAAACAGCAAGUUAUGGAUUGCUGACACCAGUUCGCAGCACCUUAGUUGCGCACGUUCCCUAUAAGUGGGCAUGGGCCAUGGCAGUGUUUGAUCUGGCAUAUUUAGAAUUAAUUUUAAAAUUACACAAAUGAUACGUACAAAUCCACUUUAUAUUUAGUUCCUGUUUCUAAGACCAUAUUAUUAAUGUGUACUAUGAUUUCAUUUAAUAUUUUCACAAUCAAUUUAAGUAUUAAGAACUCAUAUUUGUGAAUUGUAAUCUAUGACACAGAUUAGGCAUAACUACAGAACUUUAUAAUUUUGGCUUUGUUUUGCACAAAACUGCACAAAGUGCACCUAUAUCACGCAUUCUGUCCAAAAACUAGUGAGUACGGGGCCUUACUUGUUGUAGUUCCUUUCCUAAAGCAAAGUCACAUUUCUUCAUUGCAUUGCGUUGCUUAGCGAGAUAUUUGAAACAUCUUCUUUUUCAUCAAUUAAUUAAUGAAGUUUCUGCAUUAAUUAGUUGAUGAAGAAGAAAUUUCUUCAGCAAUUCGUUUCUUUUCCAUUCGAUGCAUCGGCGGCUGGGCGCAUCGCAUUUUGCCAACGCAACGAUACCGCUAACGGCGUUUUGAUUGAGCGAUGCUGUGGCCGCACCGCCAAUAGAAACCAAGCAACGCAAAAAAGCAAUGUGACAACGCUAAAACUAUAUUUAUUUUACUGAUGAUAUACUACAUAAGAACGCAAGUUAAGACUUUUAAUUUAUUAUGUCGCCAGAAAUAUUUUGUCGCAGCAAAAGCACAACUUGUUAUUACUUAGAUACUUAUACAUUCUUUUACAAGUAUUUCUAUUAUGUUUAGGAUGCCUACAAACUUAAUUUCUACAUGAAUAAUAAAUAUAUACUAUUUUCA